AGCCUAGAAGAGAUGGCUUCUAAAGUUUCUUCCAGCUCUAAAAUUUUACGAUUCUAAAAAUCUAAGUCCUUAAUGACAUAUUCUACUUACUGCUAAUUAACCGAUUCAGAAAAUCCUAUUAAAUAAAAAUAGUAAGCCAAGCAGUUUUCAUUUUAUGUUUCUACAUUUUCAAUAUUUUAUACUGCUGAGUUAUAGCCUUAUAAAGUUGAGUCAUGGCAUAAAAUCACAGGCCUGCAUGCAAGAAAAAUAUCUAAGUCACCCUGCUACUAUUUAAAAACCUUCCAGUCAAACUAUAAUAUUACAUUUAUCUUCACAAAUGGCUCAAAAUAUAUUCCCACAUAGUACCUCAUUUAUUCUUUUUUUUAACAGCUUUAUGGAGAUGUAACUCACCUAGCAUACAAUCCACCCUUUUCAAGGGCACAAUUCAUUGAUUUUAGUAUAUUCAGAGCUGUGCAACCAUCACCACAAGUGCUUUUAAACCAUUUUCAUCAUCCUGAAAAGAAACUCCCUACCCACUGGCACUCACUCCCCAUCUCCCUGGCCCCAAGCCUCCCAGCCCACCAUUCUACUUUCUGUCCCUAUAGACUGGCCUACUCAGGACAUUUCAUAUAAAUGAACCCAUACAAUAUAUAGUAAUGUUUUGAGAUCCAUCCAUGUUGCAAUAGCAUAUGCCAGCACUACAUUCCUUUUUUCUUGCUGAAUAAUAUUCCACCAUAUGAAUAUACCACAUUUGUUUAUCCAUUCUUCAGGUGAUGGCCAUCUGGAUUGCAUUAAGAAUAAGGCGCUAUGAACAUUCAUGCACAUGUUUGUGUGAAUCUAUGUUUUCAUUUCUUUUGAGUAUAUAGCUAGAGAUGGAACUGCUGGGUAACCUAUGUAACUCAAUGUUUUAACCUUUUAAACAACCAUUAGGCUGGUUCUUUAAAAGUAAUGUAUGAGGGUUCCAAUUUCUCCACAUCCUUACCAACACUUGUCAUUACCUAUCUUGGCUUAUGGCCAGGUGGUGGCUCUUUCAAAGUUUUGAUCUGUAUCUUCCUAUGACUAACGAUGUUGAGCAUCAUUUCAUGUGCUUAUUAGCCAGUUAUAAGUCUUCUUUGGAUAAAUGUCUACUCGGAUCCCUUGCCCAUUUUUUAACUGGGUUAUGUGUCCCUGUUAUUACUGAGUUGUAAGAGUUCUGCAUAAAUUUUGAGUACACGUACAUUAUCACAUACAUAAUUUUCAUGUAUUUUCUCCCACUCUGUAUCUCAUCUCAUCUUAGUGCAGCUACUUGCACUAAAUAAACAUAUGCUGUGUUGCUAUCCCCAUUUUACAGAUAGAACUGGCAUGUUCUCUGAUUAAACAGACUUGACAACUGGCAGAGUCAAGAGUAAGUGCUCCUGUUUUUAUUAAUUUAAGAGGCCAUAUAUUGAUAUCAACAUUGGGACAGAUCGUCCAGGAAGUCUCCCUCUGUUCACUGAUUUUGGUAUAUUCAGAGACAAUAUUAUUUCCAAGUUCCAGCAAAGAUGGUUUAUGCAUUCACUUGAAAAAUAGUUUUGACGUGUUACGUAACAGGUACCAUGCUUGACUCCCAGCUUAGGAUGCAUGUGUGCACAACCAAAUCCUUGUCCUCAUUAGUCUUAUAAUUUGGAGGUAUUAUGCAAAAUCCUUAGCCCUAAGUCAAAUUCUUGAUAGCAAACUGCCCAAAGAAAGACAUGUUUCAUCUUAAUGCUUAAAGAUCCACCCUCAACUCAGAAGAAACAUUACAGAUUUUAAUGAAAGUAAUAUUCUGUUUUUUAAAAAGAUCCAAAGUGCCAAAUUAAUUUGUGACCUGCGCUCCCGUCAUUGACCUUGCUGUGAGUAUUGACCUUAGUAAGCCCUCAUUUGCUUCUUAUCAACCCUUUUUAUAAUCAGCAAUGCUCACUUUAAUGACACUUGUCAAAGUAAAACUUGACUAGAGGAGGAAAUUCUCCUAUUUUUACCUUUAAUCAGAAAAAUCUGAAAGUUCGAAGUCUCUAUUCUGGCCAGUUCCUACUCUGUGCUAAAUAAAAAUGUCAUAAUAGUUCCAUUAAACAUAAAGACAGAACAUUGUAUAUCAACUAUGAUAGAAAAAAUAAAAAUCUUAAGCAAAACCCACAAAGCCAAAAACAGAGACCUACAAAUCCACCAACUUAAAAAGGGAGUUCUAACCUGGUCUAUCAAAGCAUUUGUAAUGUAGAGCACAGGACCCGAUAAUGCCCAGAAGUCAGAAGGCCCAGCCCUGAGUGGCCCAGGAAAACUCUAAAUGAUGUUUUCUCUCUUCAUGAGUUCUCACUAAUGCUACAUUUGAAAUUAAACAUAUCCAUGUUCUUUUGUUAUUAAAAAAAAAAAAACACUGAAUAUUCUUAACUAGGAUUGAUAAAAGAACUUGUUGAGAAGGAAAGGCAGAACUCAUGGCUUAUUAUUAGAAAUACAUCCAUCUUUACUGUGCAAAUUUAGUAAAUGAAGUAACAGCCAGCAAGGAAAACUAAACUGGGGGAGAGACACCAUGCCUGUCUCCAGUUCCCAGUACCCUCAACACGCCACCUUCUAACUGAAGGUCCCCAGGCUCCCUUCGGCUAGAGGUGCCUAAGAAUUAUGAAGCCCAGCUGAACCAGGAGGGUGUGAUCCGAGGUGAUCCAGAAGAUGGCCUGGCCCGCUCCCUACAAGAGGCAGCAUCAUAGUUCAAGACAGGGCUUUUCCACACCGUGAGCAGGGAGGCUAGGCAUUUUCUGGAGGCAUCUCAGGGUUGCUUUGGGGGGUCAGAGAAGCGCCGUACACAGGCAGAGCACUAGGCCUCCAAGGAUGUUUUCUGAAGACCGAAAUCAGAUGGCGACACAAAGAUCUGAAAAGCUAAUUCUAGAGGAAGUCUAGGCCAGGCAGACAACAAUGUGCAGCCGAUCUGGACGACCAGGUGAGGACAAAAGGGGAGAAUGAAUAAUGAAGCUGGUGGGGACCAGAGUCAAAAACAGGAAGGGUGCGGUCUUGGCCAAGGGUCAGGGUCAGGGUCAGGCCUUUAUCCACUGACAGGAAUGCCUAUUGUGGAGUGGGUGCGUCUGCUUAAAGGAGCAGCCUCGGGAUCCUUCCCCUAGAGGCACCGGGCUGCUGUGAUCUCCAACUCCAAAAGGCUGCUUGUGGACCAGUCUCUCAUCCUUCUGGCUCCCCAGAUUCCUUGCCUCCCACUGCCAAUCACUUCCCACAAAGCACUGAAGGUGAACAGCAGAAAGUAGAUAGUCAUUCCUGUGAUGGAUGGGGGUCUUUCCCAGGAUGCCUGAAUAAAAUCCUAAAUCCUUACUGCAGUCUGGACGGACCAGGCCCCUGCUAAGUCACCUCUCUCCUCCUCAUGCCUGCUCCCUUUCCCUGCCCAGGGCUCUGACCCUGCUGGCUCCUGACCCACAGGCACCGCUGGGCUCUGGCUAUGCUCAAGUCUGCUCAGAGGCCCUUUCUUCCUCUUCACACCAUCACUCUCUAGCCUCUGAUGCUUCUUCAUUCUUCAGCAUUUUCUUCUCAUCUGAAAUUAUGUAUCUAUGUUUGCUGUCUACCUCCCCACUGGAAGUGAGCUCUACUAGGGUAUGGACUUUGUUUUGAUUACUGCUCUGAUCCAGGUACCACCAGGGAACAGUGUCUGGAAGAUAAAUGUUCCACAAGUUGAGUAAGUGAAUGAGUAAGUCUGACUCGAUCUUAAACAUGUUGAGGCCUCCGGGUUUCCCUGGCCCCCUCUCUGUUUUUGUUCCUGAUCCAUUAACCAUUCCUAAGUUUUACUUCUUGUCUACUGUGACUAAGGAUCUGAUCACCCAGCCUUACCCACUCCUUUGCCUAACCUCUCAACUGUCUUGCAGGCCUGUCCUUCCCUAAACCAACCUAAGGCUCUACCUCUUUACUCUCACAUCCCAACCACCCAAAGGUCUCUCCUCUAAAAAGCCCCAACCGUGUGGACUGAGGACUCUGCAAACACACAGUCUCCCAUCAGUGGCCACCAGUCUUUUUUAGGGCCUCCCAUCGAGGUCCCCGGCUCACAUCCCGCAGAAACAAUUCCAAGCUUCCAUGACUUUCUUCAAGCUUUCUAUUCUCCCCUCCGCUCAGCAAAUGACAUCACCUCCACAGAAACAAAAGAGAGGUUAUUAGGUCAGACACCCUGGGUUUCCUCCUUCUCAGUGAUCAACAACCGCCCGCCUGCUCUUACCUCCUUCCUGGCAGCAUGGAGGACGGAUGUCCCUCUUCCUGCCCAAAGCUAACCUUCCACCAGAGCUCUGGAGCCCAAGGCAUCCAGCCCACCUCCUUAGGGAGCGCUCCCGUCAUUUACCCAACCCCUCCCCAUCUUCAACCUCCCCUUCUCAUUGGGCUUUCGGCCCACUGCACCCCAAUCCUCACAACUCUCCCAUUUCAAAAUAAAUGAAUAUGCCGAACUAAUAAACUCCCCAGACAUUGUGUCUCUGUCUUAUCAAUGUCCCAUGAGAGCCUCCUUCUCCCUGUUCUCAUGUGGCAGAGAAAGACUUCCUGUGAGGGCACCCGUUCCAUGGGAUCAAGAUUCACCCUCACGACCUCCUUUAACCAUAGUCACCUCCUAUAGUCAUGGAGGCAGGGGAUGGGAUGGGGUGGAGAUGAAAGUUAAGGUUUCAAAAGAAAUGGGGGGGGCACAGUUCAAUCCACAGUAGUCAACAAUAAUUACAUUUUAAUUAAAGUAUAGUAAAAUGAAUGUUCUGUAACCGUAACUGUGCAAGUUCGAGAACGCUAAAGCAAUAAAGGUAUCACAUGAUAUCACAAAUAUCACAUGAAAAUAUGAGGAUACAACCUUUUCUAUAAAUACGUAAAACAUGCAUGUGAAAUAAAAAGGAGUCUAUCAUAAUCAUCAUAGGAGUGACGUUCAAGUAAAAAAGCUUAUUUCCAAACUCUCUGCUAAACAAUCUGAAAAAUAAACUUUCGCUGAAAGAAUAUAUAAACAAAAAGCUUUGGCUAAAAAAAA
Molecule: long non-coding RNA, 4954 nt
Filed under: Sus scrofa (pig)
Lineage: Eukaryota; Metazoa; Chordata; Mammalia; Artiodactyla; Suidae
Description: lncRNA (ENSSSCG00060052709.1)
Source: RNAcentral